UGCCACGCAAUUCUGAAUAAAGUUUAUUAAAUAAUAUGUACAGCAAAUGUAGUAAUUCAACACAUCUAUUUAUCAAAUCAAUCCACUGCAAUGAAGAAAAAUAAACGAACAGAAAAAUCUAUGUCUGCAUAGGACAUGCUCUCAGUGUGUAAUUUAAAUGGCAAUACUUUAAAUUAAUUGGUUAUAUAUGUCAGUUAUUUUUCUUUCAGAAUAUAAUCUUUUUUGUAGUAACCUAUUCUAGCAAUAGGACUUAAUAUGACUGCAGAUAAAUAGGACUGCAAAAACCAAAAAACCAAAAUAAUGAAAUUAAAAAGGAAAAAAAACUAUAACUGAGAUCAUAGUUACCUUCCCUCCCCAAUAGAAUAAUUAUCAUAAAUUUUAACACUUUACAAUGGCUAUUUUUGUGCUAAAAAUCUGUAGGUGAGUUAUUUGGAAUUCCUUCAUUUAAAUAAAAAUGCAAAAAACUUCAUGACUUCCUUACUUUACCCCCUUCCAUUCAAAUUUUUAAAAUUAUUUUUCUAUACAAGGUAGGUACAUGGGCUAUACAAAGUUAAAUAUACAUAUUUACAGUCCCACUUCUUAAGCACAUGAUGUUUUUUUUUCUUUUACUGAUCCCAGAGAGACUGCAAAAGAUAAGGAGUUUGGGGCUUGCCUUUACCCGGAAGCAUGGCUAAUAUAUCAAAAUGUGUUGCAAGGCAUGCCGCCAGUUAGUAGCACUUGCUAUUAAUAAACCUGUAUAAACAUUUCAGCAUAAAAAUAGGUACUUUAUAUUACUAAAUGUCUGAAGACAAAAGAGCAAUUGGAAACCUCUGUUCCUUGUUUCAUCAUACAUAGGAAGGCGACGUGAUGCAAAUUUUAACACAUGAUUUCAUUAAAGACGGGCAAAUUGGUGAGGCAUACCUGAAUUUCUGGAGAUAUACAAAUGCGUGAGGCUGGCAUCAUAUGCAAAUGUGGCUUUACGAAUUGGUUUUAUUUUCUAGCUGUAUUUAAAGAGGUGUUCAAAAUUACCUACUUAAUCAAGAAGCACCCCUCAAAAAACUAUUAGAUAAGAUAGUGUUAUUAAUCGUUUGCAUCUAAAGACCAGGAAAUACAUUAGCCAAUACAUUCCAAAAUCGGUGAAAUGCUGCUGUGCAAAUUGCACGUGCAUAUGCAUUUUUACUAUAUUCCCUCAGAGACAGUAAAAAAAAAAAACACAACAACAACAACAACAAAAAACCAGUGCUCUUAGAUGGUGGAGCAGACCUUCCAAAGCAAGACGUCUUACUCUUACUGGGUCUUAAGGAAAAUCAGGACGUCUCCUUCUACCCAGAAAGCUCACCCCCUCCAGUGCCAUAGCCUUUUCCCUUGGGAUUAAGGCCCUGCUCUGUCAUAGUUAAAAACAAAUGUCUGUGGGAAGAGGUAACUCAUUCCUAUUAUCAAUCACUUACACUUUAGUGUGAAUGAAUUAGUGGCAGUUUCUUUCCUGAGAACAGGAUUUGAAAGAACAAUAGGGAGAAAGUGAGGGUACUGCGGCUCUCUGGUGGAGGGUGGGAAGCUGGUGGGAUCCUAAGAUGGGUAUUUGUGACAGCAGCUGAGCCACAGGCAUUGAAAACAAAUUUUGCCUACCUGUAAAGACUUUAGACUUUGGGACAAUGGUCCUGGGGUAAUUCUGAGCUAUAUGCAGACAGCCAGGGCUUCCUGUAUACAACCCUACCACCUAUAAUUGUUACUCCUAUUUGUGAGCUUGGAUGUGUAUCUUUGGGGGGAGAUGACAGUUUGGAGACUCUGGAAAAUAUUCCAGGUAUUUCCAGCUAUGAACUACCCUCAGACAAAGGUUCUUCCAGCACCCUAGUUGUUUAAAAGUGAGCUAAUGGAGAUGGAAAUAUGACAAUGCUUUCUAGGAUUCCUCCAGGGAAAAUUCAUCUCUUCCUCCCUCACGCCCUUCUCAGCACUUAUCACGGUCUCUCUUGAUUAAGUUCAUUUUCCUGUGUCUGUCUCCCCAAUCACCUCGAGUUCCUGGUGGGCAGGGAAUGGGUCAUUUCUGCAUUUGUCUCACUCGGGGGUCUAAGAGAGGCCGAUAAACGUCCUUG
RNAcentral lists this long non-coding RNA (2069 nucleotides) under Macaca fascicularis (crab-eating macaque). RNAcentral describes it as "lncRNA (ENSMFAG00000058752.1)". Lineage: Eukaryota; Metazoa; Chordata; Mammalia; Primates; Cercopithecidae. The record is from RNAcentral.